UUUUUUUUUACAAAUAGGUCACUUAUUCAGGGACGGAGGGAGUAUCAUAAUUGAGAAAACGAGCACAAUAAUUCCCACUACCCUUUUUUGUGCAUUCAUCAUGAGACCAACAUAACUUAGGUUCCUCAACCUUCCUCUGAAAAUUCCCACUUACCAAAUUGGGAUUUUCGCAUGUACCCACAUAACAACCGUACACAUAAUCAUGGGUUACGCAUUUACAACCGCUAGCACAGAGUCCUAAAAAGGUACCGCAAUCACCUCUACAUUCUUUUGCUUCUACUUUCUUCAUCGGAAACAUUACUAAUGCAGCAAGCAAGAGGACAGCAAAAGAAGCUAGCUUAACAUUAGACAUUGGUUGAUCAAAUGAAAGAACCGGAUACAAUAUAUAUUUUGUUUGUAAAUUAUGAACUCAACUUUGUAUUGCAUUUCUUCAUUUCUUGCAUGCAUGCAAUUUAUAAACAAAGUAAUGGAUCCUGA
RNAcentral lists this long non-coding RNA (477 nucleotides) under Medicago truncatula (barrel medic). Its description in RNAcentral is "lncRNA gene16563". The record is from RNAcentral. Lineage: Eukaryota; Viridiplantae; Streptophyta; Magnoliopsida; Fabales; Fabaceae.